CUUAGUGUGUUAGUUUGAUCUGAAUCGUCUGCCGUUAGCUAUGAUAACUUUAUGGAAACAUACAAUUUGGCCAAUAUUAAAGGUGUGAAUGUGGCCAUUGUUCGUUGGAUCUUGUUGUCAACCCUCAAGAGUGCCGAUGCUGCAUGGAAAUAGAGCAAUGCCGUGGUUCAUGUCGUGACGUCACUUGUGCCGAUUGCGUAAUAACACGAAAACUACUUUUGAGCGAUGAAAUUAAAUCAAUUUCAAGUUUAUUUUUGCGCGAUCAUUUGCAUAAUGGCGGGUAAUUUAAAUAAUGCAAACAAUCGAGAUAUUCGACAGGUUAUAAGCCGAUAUUUAAAAGAGGUCGUAGAGAAUGGUGAAUAUUUCACAGGCUGGAUUGAUGGAGAGACUAACUUGAACGAGUUUUUACAAAAAUACGAAGUUGCUGGAUCGACAUCUUUCAAGCUUCGUUCGUCUGCGCUACGAGGUUCGGCAAAGCGAUAUGGAAAUGAAGGUACAUAAAUUAAACUGAUACGACGUAUUGCACUUGUAGUAUUUUACACGUGAAAAAUUGUAUUGUUUCGACGAAAGUUCCACUUCUCACUCACUAUAAAUUUUGUUCAUAACUCACGUUACUCAUCAGUUGUUGUAAAUAUAUAAUUAUAAAUAAAAUUAUCAACAUUUUUUGUAAUAAUUGUUGUUAUUAAAGGUAGUUUGAGAUGGAGCAGCAAUUUUGGUGAUCUAUCCAUACCAUUUUUUGGCACUCCGUUUUGUAUCAAUGGAAUACGGUUACUAGAGUGUAUUUAUGGACCGUGCAGGCCGACAAAUAGAGAUUCUGAGGAGGGAAUCAACGGCCAUCCAACUGGCCAAAAAAGACGAUUUCGAGUGCAGCCAACUAAAAAGCUUGGGUGUAAGGCCCAGAUCACUGUUAGGGAGUUAACCGUGUAUCCAGACUACAUCGUUCCAACAUCCUGUAACAACAAACACCAGAUGGAACGAGUCAUUAAACCAUCGCUCUUGAACAAGUUAAAAAUCGAUAAAGAACACAAUGAAGCGCAAAUUAAAAAAAUAAAGAGGUUUUUUGUCAAAGUUCCAAACCAGCAAGCACACACAAACCACCCACACGGAGAAGUGUGCGGCAUUUCCAAUGGGGUCCAUCCGCUUAUAAUAGAGAAAAUCCACGAGCUUGUUGCAGCAGGUGUAACACAGUGGCAGGAAGUUAAAAAGUUACUUACCUACCAUGUGGAAAACAUAUUGUUCCAAGAUGAUAAAAGUCCAAGGCCCUCAACACUUAACCGGUCAUUUUAUCCAACCAGCACAGACAUCAUCAAUCAUAUCUACUCAGCUACCAACAAACAAAAACUUAGCAAACUGGAUCAGGUGAAUUUGCAAAAAAUGAUUGACGAAUGGAAAAUGUCUACAUGCCACAUCUGAUAACUGGAGAAACAUGUACAGAAAUCUCCUGAUUCCAGCUGAACUUCAAUGUUUAAAUCCAGGCUGUCUUGUUAGCGACCUCAUUAUUGAAGCUUUUCUUCAAUACCUCAAAUUUGAAUAUGCUGAUGAGAAUGUGAAACAAUCCACCAUUGCAUUGUCAAGCUAUUUCUGUACCAAGCUCAGGUCAUAAAACCAUCCAUAAAACCAUCACAACAGCAAA
This is a long non-coding RNA of Xenia sp. Carnegie-2017, 1633 nucleotides long. RefSeq lists it as uncharacterized. The record is from RefSeq and is a predicted model, not a curated record. The transcript is spliced from 5 exons. Lineage: Eukaryota; Metazoa; Cnidaria; Anthozoa; Malacalcyonacea; Xeniidae.